UUAAUAAAUAAAUAAUCUAUUCCCCAAAUCACUAAAGGAAAAGAAGCAAUGGAUGGAAACUAAUCAAGGAGAGAAGCAACCUAGAAUGAAGGGGAAAUUCCUUGACAGUUAGAACGAUUAAUUGGUGGAAUGGCUUGAUUCCAGAAUGCUCCAACACUGGAGGUUUUUAAGAAGAGACAGGAUAAUCAUUUUCUGAAAUGAUAUAGGGCAGAAGUCCCCAACCCUUAGUCCAUGGACCAGAACCGGAUUGCAGCCUGCCAGAAACUGGGCCGUGCAAACAAGCAAAGCCCCAUCAAUGGAUGCAGGCAGCAUGCGAAACCACGUCCCCUCCGGUCCAUGGAAAAACCUCUCUCCAUGGAACCAGUCCCUGGUGGGUAAAAGGUUGGGUGCUGCUGGCAUAGGGUUUUCUGCUUGAGCAGUACUUUGGGCUAGAAGACCUCCAAGGUCCCUUCUGUUAUCAAUCUGGUCCCAAUAUAGGCUGAAGGAAGGAGAAAACAUGAACGUAAUUUAAUUAUGCUUGAUUUUAUACAUUUUAAAGACCAAUUCAAGUAAAUCAAAAUAAAACCACUACUUUGGUUUCAUUUAGAAUAAUAUAAUCACAAGGGCCGAGAGAAGAAUGAUAAAGGGGCCAGAAGAGUUUUAUGGCAAUACUAGCAGAUGUAGCUGACAUUGUCGUUUUUAAUUUUACUUAAAGUUGCAU
Pseudonaja textilis is the source of this 700-nucleotide non-coding RNA. The record is from RefSeq and is a predicted model, not a curated record. Lineage: Eukaryota; Metazoa; Chordata; Lepidosauria; Squamata; Elapidae.